UUAGAUUUGUUCUGUCCAAUCAGGUCAUCUGAGCUCAUUUUGGUAAGUUCAAACAAAGCGUCUAAGCAUCUCAUUUGUAUUUAAAGCCUAACUGAAAGGCGCACUUCAUAUGCAUCCUCUUGAACUUAAUUUCAUCAAUGAGGGCAUUGUCAGCGGGGAUCUUCUAACUAAAAGCCUUAUUAUUUAAUAUAUAUUCUGUCGGAUGAAGAUGUGACAGCAUCAGCUGCGACCUGAAGGAGUUAUUUCUGGAAAUGAAAGGAAAUCUUUCUAUGAUUGAGCGUUAUUUCCGUCCUAAACUGACGACCUUACAGGAAGAUGCGCGAAUACAUUCAGCUCUUUGAUCAUCACAGCUUGGUAUGGAAGAAGACUUGACCAUCUUUUACAGUCGUCAGCACUGAAGGCAGGACCCAUGCAGAUUACAAAAGGAAAAGGAGUUCGGUGUGGGUGAGGCCUUUUCAAACUGCUGCCAGAAAGAACCAGCGCACCUGGACUUCACACCUGCAUCAGCCACUGUUUGUCAAUGAAAUACCACGGGGCUGGAGCAGGCUUACUUCUGACUUGAGAAAAGGUCAGUGAAGAUCAGGACUUGGAGUUAUUUUGAGCUCUGAGCUGAAACAUUCUGACUUUUUAAACUGGACUAAAAUAUUUGAAUGGGAUGUAACGUGUGUUUUCAAACAAAAACGUGAAGCAAAUUCUUUGCCUCUCUGAAAGUGUUAAACAAAUAAUUUUGUGGACGUGUAUUAUGAUAGUAGAUUCAGUACAAAAUAUCUUCUCUGGCUCUCAAAGUUGUAAUAUUUGUUCUUGGACCACUAAGACAAGGCAACAGAACGCUGGAAAUAAACCAAGAAAACCCCAUUCCCCACCUCCAAAGACACUGCUAGUCAAAUGUUCCGUUGGACCUUGUGCCUCCCACAGAUUACAGCUAGCAGUCGGUGUCUGUUGCUAUGGCAACAGUAACAUUAACAAAAAUAAAGAAAUAAAAAAUU
Molecule: long non-coding RNA, 986 nt
Organism: Girardinichthys multiradiatus
Lineage: Eukaryota; Metazoa; Chordata; Actinopteri; Cyprinodontiformes; Goodeidae
Exons: 4
Source: RefSeq, a predicted model, not a curated record